CAGAGAUAAAUAUGUAUCCACUUUGCUCUCCCAGAUCCUGUUCCUUGAACUCCAUCAAACUAGUCAGAUAGUUUUACAUUGGAGUGUACAAAUUAUCCCAUGUUGACAGAUGUUUGUCACUUAGUAACUUCUUUCCAAGUUUUUCCCCCUCCCCUAAGCUUUCUUUCCAGCUUGCUUUGUUGUUUUAAAAUAUGCAUGUCUCUCACUGGAAUGCCAGUCACGAGUGCAAACUUUGUGUCCAACCUCCCACAUGAAAUGAUCCUUUUAAAGGGAACUCGAUAUGUCUCAAUCUGCACUUCACUCAAAGCCUCUGGGUACGGGCCACUCACUCACUGGUCCUGGCUCCAAAAUAACUCAGCAGAAACGAGUUUCCAACUAAAAAUCCCCUCGAAUGUCUCCCAGGGAAGAAAUAUAGCUCCUAUAAUUAAAGGAGGCAACGACCAGAGGGGAAAUGCAGCCGGCAGCCAAAAAAGAAAAAUUCAAUUUUGAGGAAUUUUCACCUAGAGGAAUCCAAGAUCUUCAGUCAAAACAGCAAUUUCUGGGGAGGUAGAUGAUGGGGGGAGGGGUAGCAGAGGGGUUAUAACUUGCUGAACAUUUCAGUAAGAACAGUAAUCAACAUGAGAUGCGGUGGUCCUGAGUAGUGUUCCAUGGCAAGCAGAGGUUUACAUUUUUUAGGUUCAAGAGCAGGUAAAUGUCUUCGUUUGGAAUUCAACUGUAGUUAAAAAAUUGGGAGACUUGGUUUCUUUUUCACUUGAAAGAAUAAGAACAUUUUAGGAAAUUUCUGAUGCCUGACCUAAAGUCCUCUCAUCUUUCUUCAGAUAGAGAAUAAAAUACUUCAAAACUAUGCAAUUCUUUAAGGGAAAAAUUUUUCUCUUAAAUGUUUCUUUUUUCCUGAUGUUUUUGUUGAUGACAGUAAACUGCCUGAUAAGAAACUGACAGAUCACUUCAAAUAAAAGGCACUGUAUUA
This is a non-coding RNA of Macaca mulatta (Rhesus monkey), 967 nucleotides long. Lineage: Eukaryota; Metazoa; Chordata; Mammalia; Primates; Cercopithecidae. The record is from RefSeq and is a predicted model, not a curated record.